This 472-nucleotide ribosomal RNA is filed under the name Veillonella parvula. RNAcentral's name for it is "bacterial SSU rRNA". It matches the Rfam family "Bacterial small subunit ribosomal RNA", at positions 28 to 472 of the family's 1533-position model. The record is from RNAcentral. Lineage: Bacteria; Bacillati; Bacillota; Negativicutes; Veillonellales; Veillonellaceae.
GACGAACGCUGGCGGCGUGCUUAACACAUGCAAGUCGAACGAAGAGCGACGGAAGCUUGCUUCUAUCAAUCUUAGUGGCGAACGGGUGAGUAACGCGUAAUCAACCUGCCCUUCAGAGGGGGACAACAGUUGGAAACGACUGCUAAUACCGCAUACGAUCUAAUCUCGGCAUCGAGGAUAGAUGAAAGGUGGCCUCUACAUGUAAGCUAUCACUGAAGGAGGGGAUUGCGUCUGAUUAGCUAGUUGGAGGGGUAACGGCCCACCAAGGCGAUGAUCAGUAGCCGGUCUGAGAGGAUGAACGGCCACAUUGGGACUGAGACACGGCCCAGACUCCUACGGGAGGCAGCAGUGGGGAAUCUUCCGCAAUGGACGAAAGUCUGACGGAGCAACGCCGCGUGAGUGAUGACGGCCUUCGGGUUGUAAAGCUCUGUUAAUCGGGACGAAAGGCCUUCUUGCGAACAGUUAGAAGCGU